AAGCCCAAUGGUUUCCAGAGAUUGCCAGAAAAUAGCCUCAAAGUUGACUGGUCUCAGUGAAAACUUGAAAACUCGCCAAAAUUUGGGUAAACUUUAAACGUUCAUAACUUCUUCAAUACUCAACGAAAUCAAGUAAUUCAAAACUACAAUCAUACUUCUCGACAAGAGAAAGAGAAUGAUACAUUUUUUUGAUGGAUAAAGCACCAUUGUUUGGCCGGAAAAUGGCUCAAAAGUGGCUAUCUU
This 243-nucleotide long non-coding RNA is filed under the name Malus domestica (apple). RNAcentral's name for it is "long non-coding RNA (MDOM_LNC011582)". Lineage: Eukaryota; Viridiplantae; Streptophyta; Magnoliopsida; Rosales; Rosaceae. The record is from RNAcentral.